GCUGUGCCUAGAUGACACAGAAGAGAACUGAGAACUUCCAGCUCCAAAGAUCUCAGGGAACGUGUGGAAGCUUUCAAAGAGCAGGUAAAGGCAAGGCCGGCUGCAAUGACUGUUCUCACAGAAGAAGAUAGCAGCCCUGGAUGAGAAUGGGGUUCUUUGCACCAACUGUUUGAGUGGUGGAAAGAGCACACAGAGGUGCACUACCACACAUCUCUUCCCAGCUCCUCAUUCAGGAAUGUCGGAUUUGUAGUUUGAAAUCAGCCAAGAUGAGGAUGAAGAUGAAGAACCUGACCGGUUAAGUAACUUGCAUGAUGUCGUGCAGCUGGUAAGUGACAAAACAGGACUUGAAUCCGGGAAUUCGGGCUCCAAUACUCAAAAUCCCCACAAUGUGCUGCCUCAUUCCAAAAAUAGGAGACGAUGACAAAUGCCAUCAGGCUGCCCAGGACAGAAGAGUGCCCAUGGGAUUAGGUACUAGGGCCACCAGUGAGCUCAGCAAGAGCUCACUGUAGUAAACAGUAGGUGCUAAUUAACUGUUCAAUUUUAUCAGUUCCUGGGCUUAACCCUUUGUUUGAGCCAGCAGAGUCCACACACGUGGCAUCUCCUAGCCCCUGCUUGCCUUAUCUUCCUCCUCAGAAACCUGUUCCAGGUUUCUGCUCAGCAAGAGGAAACUCACUCCCCAACUGCGUUCAGGGAAGGGAAGAUCUGUGCUUCAAGCUCCUAGGGGAGUGAAGAGAAGUGGGAGGUAACUACUUAUAACUCGCUAACUGUGCCCAGGCACAGAUUUACAUGCAUUGGAACAUAUCAUCAACUCAAUUACCUAUGCUCAGAUUAGCUUUAGCAAGUCUUUAAGCUCUCACAGCUGUCUUCAGGUGUUCAGGGGAUUAUUAUGGGGAGAUGUUGAUCAGCUGUUCUCCAUGGCUCCUGGGGGCAGAACAAAAGAAAAGAGGCUUAAAUGUCAGCAAGGGAUUUAGAUGUAAGUGAGAACUCUGUGAGGCAGGGAGGUCCUGUGUACCCAAGCAAGGGUUUCCAGCCUUUCUGUCGUAUUUAGCCUAAAUAUUCCCUUCCCCACCACACUACCUCUUCCUUUGUUUUCUGACAAAAGAGACAAAAACAAUAACAGCAAGUUCUUGUGUAGUUCUUACUUCAUGUCAGGGACCAUUAUGGAGGUUUUUACUCAUAGUCACUCUUCCAAUAUUCACCACAACACGAUGAGAUAAGUACUAUUGCCGUCCCCAUUUUAUAGGUAUGAAAACUGAGAUAUAGGGUGAAUAACUUGCCAAAGGUCACACAGCCAAUAAAUGGUAGAGCCAAUAUUUGAAGCUUUAUCCCUAAGUCCACCCUCUGAACCACUACCCUGUACUGUUAAUCUGUAUGUGUGGCACUAGAACAGAAUUUAAUAUCAGGCAAAAUAAGGGAGAAAUUCUAGCUGGCAAUUUGGCAUGGAGGCUGUUGCAGAUUGUUACAAAAUGACCCUAAGUGAUCCACGCCUCCUUGAAUUUAUGCCUAUGUAUAGUCCUCUUCCACACUGAAUCUGUGCCAUUCCAGUGACUGGCUUGGCCAACAGCAUGUGAUGGAAACAACUUUCUGGGACGUCAUACUCAGGCCUUAAGAGGUCUGGAGCUUCUACUUUCUCUGUCAGAACCCAGCUGCCUUGUAAAGGACACUCUGUCUACAUGUAGAGAGGACACAUGUAGAGAGAAGACUUGGAGGCUGAGAGGCCAUGUGGAGAACAACAGAGGCACCUCAGCUAAGAGCCAGAACCAAAGUGGUAAAUGAAGCCAUCUUAGAUCCUCUACUCCCAGCUGGAUUGUCCCAGGAGACACCACACAGGCCAAGAUGGGGUGAACUUGCUGAGCCCUGCACAAAUCCUAACUCUAAAAGGGUUGUGGUUUUCUUUUUUUAAAGACUUUAUUUAUUUAUUUAUUUAUUUAUUUAUUUAUUUAUUUAUUUAUUUAUUUAUUUAUGAGGGAUUGAGAGCACAGUGAGAGAAAGAGCAUGAGUGGGGGUGGGGGGCAACAGAGGGAGAAGGAAAAGCAGGCCCCCAGCUGAUCAGGGAGCCUGAUGACGUGGGGCUCCAUCCCAGGACCCCAGGACAAUGACCUGAGCCGAAGGCAGACACUUAACCAAUUUAGCCAUCCAGGAGCCUCAAGGGUUAUGGUUUUAAGUCACUAUUUCCUUUUUAUUGUGGUGAAAUACACAUAACAUAAAAUUUAUAAUUUUAACCAUUUUUAAGGGUAUAGUUCUAUGGCACUAAGUGGAUUUGCAUUGAUGUGCCAUCAUCACACCAUCCCAUCUAUCUCCAGGAAUUUUUAAUCAUCUCAGACUGAAACUCUGUCCCCAUCAAACACUGUUCCUUCCCGCCCCUGGUAACCACUAUCCUACUUUCUGUCUCUAUGAAUUUAAGUCAAUAGGUUCUAAGGUAGCACCAUAUAACCUCAUAGAGAUGCUGACAGAUUUAAUAAUCUGCUUUUAGAACAUAUUAAUGUGUUUCUUAGUUUAUUAAAUACCAGAGAGUUAUAUAAAUAUCAGGAACCCUCCCAGAGCUUCAGUUUGCUGUGUCAUUUGUACCUGUAAUUCUAAUGGUGUCGUGGCCUAUAGUGUUACAGGUAAAAUUAUAAUUAUACCUAACAUUUACUUUGAAGUUGAGAAGGCAGUUUCACACUUAAUGUAUCACUUGCCUUUCACAAUAGCCUUGGAGGUAGAAUUAAUGUUUUCCCUUUUAUAGAUCAGGAGAUUGAGGAUCAAAGGUUUUAAGUGAUUUGGUCAAGGUCAUAGCAUUGAUAGAACAGGUUGGUCUGCAACCAUUUUUUGAUCACGCCUGCUGCGUAAGGGAGAUGGGGGGCGAGGUAUCCAAAAGAUAAUUCAGCAGUUUGAAAAAGGAGACACAAGCCUGUUCCUCAAACCACAGCUGCUUGCCUAGGACACACCCAUGGAUAUGCCCACAGGAGAAUCCUUUGAUCAUGCUGACUACCAACCAAGAUGGCACCCAAUGAAAUGUUUUAUAGGGUGUGGCUGGGUCUAUUUUAAGAAACAAAUAUGUUCGGCUGUAGUUUGGGCAGGAAUAGCAUGACGAGGCAAGCCAGGGACAUCCCCAUUGAGUAAAGCCACAGAAUCAUGCUCAUUCAUAAAUCAAUUCAGUGGGUCACAAACAAUAUAUUUUUUAAAUAAAAUAGAACAGAAUUCAUUGAAGUAGUAAGGACAAGUAUUUUUCUGAGGAAUUUAUUUCAGUAAUAUUAUAUACAUAUACUUGUAUCUUCGUAGUCAUGUUAUUUGGGAUUUGGGUCACAACAUCAAAUCUAUUUCCUACCAUGGUGUGAAUGCUUGAAAACCACUGCCCUACCCCAAUUCUUCCUCAAAGUUCAGAAGCAUUCUGCAGUCUCUAGUGGAAGUAUAGCCCGUCUACCUGCACUGGCCUUGUGCAAACAGUAGAAAAGAGACAGAUACCAUUUUAGCACAAGGACAACACUCCAGAGGCUGGUUUGGAAUGGCUGAAAUUGUCAUUUGUAAAAUUUUGUCAAGUGCCCAAGGUGAUUUUAUGACAUGGAGAUGUAGUGAUAGGAUUCUAAAAGCAAUGGAUUAGUCAGGGAAACCGAGCUUCCACCCCCUUGUUCUCCUUCAAACACCUAUAAUUCCUUGAGAUUUUCUCAGCUUCAUUCCCUCAUCUCUAGCAAGAGGAAUGAUCAGACCAAAUUAUCUUUGGGGAAAGUUUUCAACCAAGAGAAGGAGUGCUGAUAAGAUUUAGGCUACUGUCUACUCAUUUUCCCAAGGAGGGGCACUGAGAUAGGGAAUGCAGACGGAAAGUCUUCUGUCUCUCUUUUUUUUUAAAGCGAGUCCAGUUUUUUGUUUAUAUGUUUCCCAACAUGGAUAAGGAUAGACAAACACUCUUUGAAAGAUAACUAAUGUACAUUUCUGGUUUGAGGCUGAAGACUUACCUUGAGUACCCCAUCCAGGUCCAGGUAUCUACAAUCGUGAAACUUACAUCAUUUUAGUUUCAUGAAUUAAACAAUAAACUAUAAUUGUCUAGGUCCAGGGUAUGAUGGUAAAGUCACAGCAUCUCGGUCACAUAUGAAAUUUCCUCCCUGUUAUUCAGCCAUGUGCAUAAGAAGGCAGUUGAAAUUCCUUAAGAGGUAAAAGCACAUGAGUGUGGUGAUUCUUUCCCCUGAGUUGAGAAAACAUGAAUUCCUUGGUGGCUGGAUUUUGAUCCUAGAGCCAAUGCCGAGGGAGGGCCUGGGUCAGUGACCACUGGUUCCUGGACAUUAAGAAAGGCUCCAUAGCAGAAAAGAAAGCCCAGACAUUGCCAACAACCAUUGUAUAAAAAGAAAAAUGAGUCGUUGAGUCUCAGCAAUAAUGACUCUGCUUCUGCCAAUGUCAGCAGGGAGACAGGUGCAGAGAGCUCUGAAGAGCCCUUCCAAACCCUUACACGUGACCCAAAAAAUGCCCCAGAAGCCCAAGCUCCUUGACAUGCUGAGCUGAAUCUGGAGUGUUUCCAGCUAUAUUCAAAUGGGUCUGGGAAUGACAUGGGAACUUAGCAGCUUUGUUUGCAACUUAGGAGUAGAAAUUGUUUUUCAUCAAACAGAAAAUAUCCUUGUCUAUUUGAAUUUCAAACAACGUAAUGCUGUUUGGGGACUGCUAUAAGAAAAUUCAUUCUCAUUGAGGAAACUCCGCGUCUUGUACAAUUUAGGGAGAGAAUAAAGGAAUUGUUCAAACUGCUUCAUUUCUAUUUUCUCAUGGUAUAGAGAAGUUUAUGUGAUUUAAUGCCUUUUUUUCAUGAUAAUUUUUGAAGAAUAUAUUCAAACAAGAUGCCAUUUAGUAGACUUGGAUAUUGCCUUAACCCUCUGGAAUGACAAAAAGCACAGAUUGGCACAAAUCGAAGAGGAAAGUAAGAAAAGAUUUAUUCAAGGGCAGUGAAUUAUAUUAUUAGGCCAGUGACUCCCUUCCACCUACCCCCCCAAACUAACCCCAUGCCCAGCUUAUCUGAGUAAACCAAAGGAAAUUUAAUCUUAGCCUCUACUAUAUAUUCAGUACAUUCCGGCUGACAUUUCAGACCCUGUUAGAAAUCUGGUUGGCUUCCAAGCACAUGCAAUACUAGAAUGAAGAAAUAGUAUAGAUAGCUAUCUCAUUUUUCUUUCUCUCUGAAACAUUGACAAUGAUUCUUUGUAGAAUGUCUCAGGACAUUCAAGGAAGUUAUCCAUAAACAUUUUGCAGAAAUCUGUCAAGAGCUGAUUAUUGCAAUUUAUAUUAUAUGGAUACUUCAUUCCACAGGCAUUGCAAGAUUAAAACAUGCUGGGAAGACAAUGGAGGCUAUAGGCUGCCAAACACAUGAACAACCAGUAGUCAAGAGGCAGGUUUGAAGUGUGGUAUUUUCAGCUCUAGAGGACAGAAUGGUGACCUUAGAUGACACAGGCAGAACCACCAGACACACACCAAUCCCUUCCCAAACACACCACAUAUUAACCAAUAAAAUGGGCGAAACCAGUAACUCCAUCUGGUUCCUCAGAAAUCCUUACAAAUGUGCCAGUUUCUGUGGGAUAUGCCACAUGAGAGUUCCCUGCUGGGCAAAUAGGAGUAUCACAGACACUUGAAAUUCAUACAUAAACUCCAAGCCUAUAUUUCAGCAACUUAGUUUUCCUCCUCCAUUAGCAGUUGCAACCAAUGCCUCCACUGUAGGCAGGACUCCACCCUUGUCCCUGUCCCCAUCCUACAGAGUCAUGAAGUGUGUGAAUAAAGACGCCAAGGCUAGUGGCCCAGUCCCAAACUGAAUGAUCGCCCUUUGGAAAGUGAACCCUGGAGUGCAAUAAGAAGGCUUUGUCACACAGCACGGCAGGUUUGCCUGCUUCUCAGAAUCAACAAACCACGGCAAUGUGAGAUGUUUUACUUGAAAGAAAGAAAGAAAGAAAGAAAGAAAGAAAGAAAGAAGAAAGAAAGAAAAAGAAUGAAAGAGAAGAAAGAAAGACAGAAAGAAAGAAAGAAGAAAGAAAAGAAAGAAGAAAGAAAGAAAGAAAGAAAGAAAGAAAGAAAGAAAGAAAGAAAGAAAGAAAGAAAGACUGGUACUUUUAAGCCAGGUUAAAAAUCUCACUUGCUUGGUUCCCCCUUUAAAAUCUUAAAAGAGGGCAGCCUGGGUGGCUCAGCGGUUUAGCGCCGCCUUCAGCCCAGGGCCUGAUCCUGGAGACCUGGGAUCGAGUCCCACGUCAGGCUCCCUGCAUGGAGCCUGCUUCUCCCCCUGCCUGUGUCUCUGCCCCUCUCUCUAUUUCUGUGUCUCUCAUGAAUAAAUAAAUCUUAGAAAAAUAAAAUAAAAUCUGAAAACAAUAAAUAGCUCACCAGGUGAAUUUGACAUAUAUGACACCUCCAUGUUACAACCUCUGGACACUCAACCAGAGAUUGGCAGUCUAUGCACUGAAUGACCAGGAUGGAGUAUAUGGGAGACAAUUUUAUGGUCAGGCACCAGCUGGCCUGUGUGCAUCCGUAGAGAAGUUUCAAAGCUCUACAGUGGGGCUGCAGCCACCAAAUGUCCCCCUGCUCCCCAUCUACCUCAUGGUUCCCAGUCAUUCUGGUCUGCUCCCUCAUUCUCUAGCACAGCACAAGAGUGGGGGAGAAAAUAGCACUGGAAAGAGUUGGUACUGGGUGAAGGGUUGGCACAGCUGCUUGUAGAUACUUGAGGUGGGGAGAGAAAUAGAAGAUGGGAGAUUGGCCACAAUUCUUGGAACCUUCCUUAAGGGAGGGUGAUAUGAAAGCUUUUGCACAAAGUAGCAGAACAUGAAGUGCUGGUCCUGGUUCCCCAAACUAUAGUCAGUGAGUUAGGGAAGAAGUUAGAGAGGCCAUCAAGUCCAGCCUUCCUUCAUUCAUUCUUCUGUUCAUUCCACAAAUAAUCACUGAACAUCUAUACUGCUGAGGAUAUAUCAGAGAACAAAGCAAAGACCCUGCCAGCAUGGAGUUUACAUUUUCCUGGGGCUGAGAAACAUUAAGCAAAUAAAUAAAUAGCACAUCAGCUAUGAUAAAUGCUGUGGAGAACAGAAAAGCAAGGUAAGAAGAAAAUGGACCCUUGAGGGGUAGGAGAGCCAGGAGGUACUAUCUUAUAUAUGUUGGUUAGGGACUGAUAAUGACAUUUGAACAGAAACUUGAAGAAGCCAUGGGGAUAUCUGAUGGAAGAGAGGACACAAGUGCAAAGACUCUGCUACAGAGAAUGAAUGGCAUGUUUAAGGACCAGCUCGGAUGCUAGUGGGGUUGCUAGCAUGGCAUAAGGGGGAGAUUUGUAGGAGAGGUGGUCAGAGAGACUGUGGGGCCCAGACCAUAUGGGGUCUUGGAAGCAAGUGUUAAGCUUGAGUGAGACAAGAACCUUUAAUUGGAGAAAUGACAGGAUCUGACUUUUUAGAGUAUCCUUCUGGCUGCUGUGUUGGAACACAUCUCGGGGCUAUGUCAUGGAACAUGAUGAAAAUCUAUUUCAUUCUUAAAAGACCCUGUACAUGAUUCAGUUACCUUCCUAUUUUCCAGUUUGUUUUCUAUGCUUCCCUCUCUAGACAGGUUUUCAUCAUUGGUUUUAUUUUCCAUCAUCGGAUUCUUUAAAAUUGUCUGAUCUUGCCAUCAUCCCUUUUCAACCCUCAACUUAACACUUUCCAAAUGGUUUUCACUUGCACUUAGGGGAAAGUUCAAACUCCAUCCUCUGUUGUAAAAGGUCCUGUAAGAUUGAGUCCCUGCCUGUAUCUCUCUGCAUGUGCUCUCCUCUGUGUUCCUCUUCCUCUGUAGUCAUGGUGGCUCUCUUUCGGUUCCUAACCCCAGAUAAGUUCUUUUUCCUGAUACCUUCUCCCUAUGUCUGUGUGGUUCACCCUUGCAUAUCUUGUGCUCCAGAAAUGUGUUGGAUUAGUUAAUUUAUCAAUCAAAUGCGGUACCCAAAUAAAAUGAAGUCACCUCAGA
Molecule: long non-coding RNA, 7908 nt
Organism: Nyctereutes procyonoides (raccoon dog)
Lineage: Eukaryota; Metazoa; Chordata; Mammalia; Carnivora; Canidae
Exons: 5
Source: RefSeq, a predicted model, not a curated record